AGCCGUGGCUUUCUGGUUAAAUACCGUCAAUAUCUGAACAGUUACUCUCAGAUAUGUUCUUCUUUAACAACAGAGUUUUACGAGCCGAAACCCUUCUUCACUCACGCGGCGUUGCUCCAUCAGACUUUCGUCCAUUGNGGAAGAUUCCCUACUGCUGCCUCCCGUAGGAGUAGGGGGAANNUNNCACANUGGACNAANGUNUGAUGGAGCAACGCCGCGUGAGUGAAGAA
Molecule: ribosomal RNA, 230 nt
Filed under: Lactobacillus sp. L10
Lineage: Bacteria; Bacillati; Bacillota; Bacilli; Lactobacillales; Lactobacillaceae
Description: partial 16S ribosomal RNA
Source: RNAcentral